AAUGAAGAGACAAGGUCUUGCUAUGUUGCUCAGGUUGGUCUUGAAUUCCUGGCCUCAAGGGAUCCUCCUCCAUUGGCCUCCCAAAGUGCUGGGAUUUGCCCAGCCCCUAACUGUUGUUUUGUUAAGUUGCAUUUCUCAAGAUUGGGCAGAGUAGCUUCCUAGACUUGGUGAUUUAAUUUUACUUUUCUUGUCUUGUUAUUUCUCUGCAUUCAAUGUUACCUUAAUUGUAAAAUAAAAAUUACCAAGACAUUGCUGAAUAUAGUUGUUGAUUAGUGUUCCCUUGAUAGUAGUCCUGCAUUUUUACUUUCAGCUACUGCUUAAUCACAUUCAUUUGCAAAAUUGGAAAAUUUUUACUUUGGCUAAUUACCAUAGGUUUAGAACUUUCUGGUCUUCAGCUCCAGAAAUGUAUCGCUGUGUUGAGAUCAUGUUUUAUUUCAUCCAUGUUUAUUUGAAUACUGCCCCUCUGAAAAGCUGACUGUUUUUGGAGCUUUUAUACACAAGUAUGAGUGAGGAAAUUACUUUAGGUGUAGAAUAAAAUUGUGUAGAAAUAAUUAUCUUUGAAAAAAUUUGGUAUUCAGGAUAUUGAAUUGGAAGUGUUGAAGAAGCAGCUGUUUUGUGUGUAAUACGUUUCUCUUGUUUGAGAAUUUACCAGUUUUUUGCAGUUGUAGCUUUGAACUAUCCAUUCCCCCCUUAAAUUUAGAUACCCUGACAACCAAAAAUCUCUUGAAUUGUCAUGAAGUACUUUAGUAGAAGUUUUAUGGAAAAACACAACAUAGCUAUGAUCUUUGCUGGAAGCUUCAAAAAGGCAUCAUCGUGUGAUGCUUUUUAGGUAGAAAAACUCCCAGAAAUAAGAUAAGGUACCUACACUGGGCAAAGCCCAAGCCUCUUACUCAUGUUUCCUGGUAAUCCACAGCAGUGGUUUUGCUCCUUUCAUGACAUUGUUUUUGUUGUAGUGUUUGUCUUUCAUAAAAAUUCUCCAUAAAAAUAUAUAAAAAUUACCUGUCUUCCAAAUCAAACUUUUAUCAAACCUUCCAAGCUGAAAGCUGGUACAAUUUAAGAUCAUUUUACCCAGGAACAGAGUAAUAAUUUAUUUUGUGUUUACUGUUUCAUUGGACUUACUGAUUUAUUGGUGGUGACUUGAUCUUAUGUGUACUUGGUGACCUUAAAGUAAAUUACCUGGGUAGUUGUGGUCAUUUGACAAGUUUUUAUUGAGCACACAGCCAUUUGCGCUCUUGGUGUACAGUGGUAUAAAGACAGACCAGGUCCCUGUUCUUACGGAGCUUAAAAUACUAUGGAAAGGAAGAGAAAAUAAACUAACAGAAAAAUAACAAUUUCAGCUGGCGACAAGUGCUACGAAGAAUUUAGAGAAGGGUAAGGAACUACAGAGUGAUGAGAACUGGGUGGAGUGACUGCUUUAUAGACAAUGUUGAGAUAAUGCAUUUAAUUUUUUAGGAAAAAGUAAUGCUACUUCCUUUUGGAGCCGGGGAUAAUUCUUAUGUAGGUUUACCUGUGCCAUUUAGCUCAUUUGGUUGGGGGACAGACAGCUUUUAGAUUUGGAGCCCUUGUGCAUAGGCUGCUAAACUUAUAAACUUAGUUCCAUGUUGUAGACUAAACCUAGGCCAGCUAAUUUACUAGUAUUGUUAGUCAUUAGGGUGGGAGAUUAUGAAUGGAUUCACUUACAUAUUAUUUAUUCAUGUGGCAUAUAUUUGUUGUGUAUUUCAGUAGGUGCUGAAGAAAAUUCCAGGAUUAAGAAAAACUUUCUCAAGUAGCUGUAGUUUACCAAAAUAGUUAUCAGAACUAAUUUGGUUCAUUAGGACUUUGAGUAAAUAGUAGGUCUCUCGUGUCCUAAAUGACUUGAGCUAACACAUUCUGCAGUCUUUCUGGCACUUCUUUUCUCUUUUGCCUCAUCACCCAUGCUUUUUCUCUUUGUGGCAUCUUCUGUGUUACUUUUCAUAACUAGUACUCCCACUUCCCUUUUUACCUAUAGAUACAAACUUUUUCAACGGUCGCAUACAUAGAAGUGCACAAAUCGUAAGUAUAAGGAUUUGAUAAAGUUUUGCAGAAUGAGCAUAUCUUUGCCACUAGCACCCAGAUUGAUUUUUUUUUUUUUUUUGAGACAGGUAUCUGGCUCUGUUGCCCAGGCUAGAGUGUGGUGGUGUAAUCACAGCUCACUGUAGCCCCUACUUUGAGGCCCAGGUGAUACUCUCACCUCAGCCUCCUGAGUAGUUGGGACCAUAGACAUGUGCCAUCAUGCCUGGCACAUUUUUAAGGGCUUUUUUUUUUUCUUUUUGUGAGACACGGUCUCCCUAUGUUGCCUAGGCUAGUGUCUUAUUUCUGGGCUCAAGCGAUCCUCCCGCCUCAGCCUCCCAGAGAGUUGGUAUUAUAGGCAUGAGCCACUGUGCUGGCUUGCACCUAGAUUCUUAAAGAGAACAUUACUAGAACAUUACCGGAAGCCCCUUGUGCACUGUCCCCUGUGGGCCACUUCUCCCACCCCAUUCCUGUCUUUUAAUACUAGAGAUCAGUUGUGCUUGUUUUUGAAAUUUAUGUGAGUGGAGUAUACUAUGUAUACAGUACACAGUAAAUACUGUAUGUACCACUGCCUAUAUACAGUAUACUCCACAGUGAGUGAAACAAGCCAGACUCAGAAGCAUACAUACUGUAUGUACCACUUUGCUUAGUAGCCACAGUGUAUGCACCAUGGUACAUGCAUAUACUUCUGAAUCUGGCUUGUUUCACUCAUGGUUAGGUGUGCAGGAUUCAUCCAUGUUGUUGUGUGCAGUUCUUGCUUAUUUUACCAGUCUGUCUUAUCCUGAGAAUAUCUUUGACAUUCAACUCUGCAUGCAGACCCUUCCUUACACGUUCUAGAGAGAGGACCUGUCUUCACCCUGUGUUUAUUACCCACAUACUUGAACAGCUGUUUCCUCCAGGCAUCAUUAUGCAAAAGGAAUGAAACCCGGUGUGUGCAGCUUUUUUAGAGGACGUAAAAGGAGUCAGCUCUUGCCUCUCAUCAAUAGUAUUGUUUAUCAGUCAUUUCUCUUUUGAGGCAUUGGUUGAAUAAAUGGGAAAAUUCCUGCUUUCAAGGAACUUAGCAGACUUGUUGACAGAUAAGACCAUAAGAAGAAAGCCAGUGAAGUACCCAGUGAUGUGAACGCCAUGGUAUGAGCAAGUACAUAAUAGAGACCACAAGUGCUUUUUAGAAGUUAGAGAUAGUCAUUCUCUGGGGCUUCCUCAGGAAAAUCCUCGCUGAAUCUGGGAUCUAAACUGGGCCUUAUGAUUCUUGGAUAUAAGUUCCCUACUCCCCGCCCCACACCCCCUCUAAAAAAAAAGUACUAGAAGUUACACACAGAACUGUAGCCUUGGAGGCUGUAGGCAGUGCAUUUAAAGUACUUCUGGAGUGGUUUUGAGCUUCAGAGCAUUGACACACUUCCCUAAAUAACUGUGACAAUUCUUUCUAUUUGCUGUUGCCCAUCGGUGAUUUCAGUGGCCAGUAGUCAUACUGGAAAGUCUGAUAAUAAAGCAGGGGAUCAGUCAUGUGGUACCAAACCAGUUGUGGGGAAUGUUAGAUGUGUUAAGAUGUGAUUAGCAACGACAUUCCUGUUUGUAAACUGGCAUCUAUGGCGGUUUAAAAAUGGUGGCAAAACCAUUUUGAGUAUUGUUGGAAAUGUUAUCUGUUCUGCCGUGUUAAUAUACCUAUAAGUUGGUAGUUGCAUCUUGUACCCUUGAUAGUCAUACUUUGUACAUUGUGUAUGCCACUCUUCUGUUGAGUAAUUUGGAUUAAUUACUUUGGAGAUUGAAGUCUUGACUCAUUCACUUCACUCAUUUAUUUAGCUGUAUUUUCAGUUCCAUGCAAUGAGUGACACAGACUGUGCUGCCAAAAAGGAAUUCUCAGUAAGGGCAAUGCACAUAAAUUACUGUGUUACUCAGAAAUCAUGAAUAGUUGAGAUCACAAGGAAAUCUACUUAAAUUGUCCUGUGGUUGGGAAAAGAAACUAGUGGAAGGAAUAUGUUAAAAAAGCAUCUUUCUUAAAAUGUAUUCAAAAUAUUUUUCUCUACAAUUUAAGAGCAUUAGCAAAUACAACCUAGGAUGAAACUUUAACAGCCUUUGAGAGGGACAAGAAAUGAAAUUAAGGGUGAUAUAUGAUGCCAGUAUCAUCGGUGUAUUGGGUCUCAUAAUACAUACAAUACAUGGUAGUUAGUCAUAGGGAGAAAACAAACCUGGUGGCUGCUUUCUAAGAACAAAUCAGAUUUCUUGUGUAGCUAUGUGGUUUAACUGUUCUUGCCCUUCUUUUACAAAACUAAACAGAGUGCUGGUUCUCAAACUUUAGCAUGUUAUCAGAAUCACUUGGAAGAAGACUUCUUCAACACAUUGCUGAGUCCCAUUCCCAGAGGUUCAGAAAAUUAGAUGUUGACAUUUUCAAAGUGAACUUAAGAGAAGAUAAUUUCAAGAAUUAACAUUCUUGAAAUGACAAAAUUACAGAGAUAAGAGAACACAUUAGUGGUUGCCAGGAGUUAGGACUAGUGGCAGGAGGGAGGGAGAUGGAUGUAACUGUAAAAGGGUAGCAAGAGGAAGAUCUUUGUGGUGAUGAAGACCAUUUAAAUUAGAGGAGGACAAUAAGAUGUCACUUGAGGAGUUACCUUGCUCCGAAUUAUCCUGAGGUUAUUAGCCUAUUCAGAUAAGCUAUAAUGUAAAAAGUUAACAUAAGCCUGUAUAGAUUAGAUGAUUUAUUUUGCUUGUUGCAGUGUUUCUCUUUAUAAAGUUGAGUAUUCUUCAUCCUGUCUUUUGGAUACAUAUACCUAUAAAAACGGGCCAAGAAUAUGCAUUCUGUGCUGACUGCC
Molecule: long non-coding RNA, 4835 nt
Filed under: Homo sapiens (human)
Lineage: Eukaryota; Metazoa; Chordata; Mammalia; Primates; Hominidae
Description: HSALNT0312489
Source: RNAcentral